This 1024-nucleotide long non-coding RNA is filed under the name Cyanistes caeruleus (blue tit). RNAcentral describes it as "lncRNA (ENSCCEG00000002139.1)". Lineage: Eukaryota; Metazoa; Chordata; Aves; Passeriformes; Paridae. The record is from RNAcentral.
AUGGGGAAUUUAUGGGAAUUUUUGGGAAUUUGGGCGGAGUUUUUUUGGAGAUUUUUUUGGGAGAUUUUUUUGGAUUUUAGGGGAAUUUUUUGGGAAUUGUUUUGGGAAUUGUUUGGGGAAUUUUUUGGGAUUUUUUGGGAAUUUUUGGGAAUUUUUGGGGAAUUUUUUGGGAAUUCCCACUCACCGGAGAUGAGCUCGUCCAGGUCCAGCUGCUGCCCCUGCUCCUCGUCCACGUGGAGCACCAGGAAUCCUGACAGGAAUUCCGGGAUCAGAAUCCGGAAUAUUCCCCCAAAAAAUUCCCAAAAUUCACCCCAAACCCAGCCCGGAUCCCAACCUGAAUUAUCCCAAAAAUUCCAUAAAAAUUCCAUAAAAAUUCCCAAAGAAUUCAAUAAAAAUUCCACUAAAAUUCCCCAAAAAUUCCCCCCAAAAAAUCCCCCCAAAAUCCCCCCAAAUUUACAUAAAAAUCUCCCAAGAAACACCCUAAAAAUUCCUUAAAAACUCCCCCCAAAAAUCCCCGAAAAAUCAAAAAAAAAUCCCCCCAAAACUGAAAAAAAUCCUCCCAAACAUCCCAAAGAAUUCAACCCAAAAAUUCCCAUAAAAAUCCCCCCAAAAUCUAAAAAAAAUUCCCAAGAAUCCCCCAAAAUUCCCUAAAAAUCCCCCCAAAAUUACCAUAAAAUUUCCAAAAAAUUCCCCCAAAAAAUCCCCAAAAUCCCCAAAAAAAUCCCAAAAAAUCCAAACAAAAUCCCCCAAAAAUCCCAAAAAAAUCCCCAUAAAGAUCCCCCCCAAAUUCCCAAAAAAUUCCAUCAAAAUACCAAAAAAAUACCCCCAAAAAUCCCCAAAACGCCCCCAAAAUCCCCCCAAAAAUAUCCCCCAAAAAAUUCUCAGAAUCCUAAAAAACAUCAAAAUUAAAAAAAAAACAAAAAAAUGCCCAAAAAACCCCUAAAAAUCCCCGAAAAUCCCCAAAUUAUCCCAAAAAAAUUUAAAAAAAAAUCCCCAAAAAUAAAAAAAAUCUCCCAAAAUCCCA